ACAUCCAGCGAACUUGGCAGAGAUGCCUUGGUGCCUUCGGGAACGCUGAGACAGGUGCUGCAUGGCUGUCGUCAGCUCGUGUUGUGAAAUGUUGGGUUAAGUCCCGNAACGAGCGCAACCCUUAUCCUUUGUUGCCAGCGAUUCGGUCGGGAACUCAAAGGAGACUGCCGGUGAUAAACCGGAGGGAGGUGGGGAUGACGUCAAGUCAUCAUGGCCCUUACGAGUAGGGCUACACACGUGCUACAAUGGCGCAUACAAAGAGAAGCGACCUCGCGAGAGCAAGCGGACCUCAUAAAGUGCGUCGUAGUCCGGAUCGGAGUCUGCAACUCGACUCCGUGAAGUCGGAAUCGCUAGUAAUCGUGGAUCAGAAUGCCACGGUGAAUACGUUCCCGGGCCUUGUACACACCGCCCGUCACACCAUGGGAGUGGGUUGCAAAAGAAGUAGGUAGCUUAACCUUCGGGAGGGCGCUUACCACUUUGUGAUUCAUGACUGGGGUGAAGUCGUAACAAGGUAAGCGUAGCGAG
RNAcentral lists this ribosomal RNA (525 nucleotides) under uncultured bacterium. RNAcentral describes it as "bacterial SSU rRNA". It matches the Rfam family "Bacterial small subunit ribosomal RNA", at positions 984 to 1509 of the family's 1533-position model. The record is from RNAcentral.